This is a long non-coding RNA of Magnolia sinica, 341 nucleotides long. RefSeq lists it as uncharacterized. The record is from RefSeq and is a predicted model, not a curated record. Lineage: Eukaryota; Viridiplantae; Streptophyta; Magnoliopsida; Magnoliales; Magnoliaceae. The transcript is spliced from 2 exons.
ACUAAAAAACUUACUUAUUCUCAGAUUGCAUUGUGAAAUAUGCAUCCAUUAUUCAAAGAAAGGGCGACAUUCCAAGCACUCACACUCUCUCCUUGCUAGCUAAAUUGGUUGACAAGCUAAAGAAGUCAGUGGAGGAUGAAAUUCAUUUUCUCAAGGGAAGGGUUUCAGAACUUGAAAGUGAUCUUGUAUCGAAGUCCACAGAAGUUACAUCUGCAGUUUAAAGGAAAGAAGAAGCUCUAUCUUUUGCAUUUGCUGAAAUUGACCGUCUGAAGGAAGAAAAUUCUGUAAAAACGUGAGCAUUAUUGAAUGCAUAUGGAGGGUGUUUACUGUGUUGGAGUGUA